Long non-coding RNA from Labrus mixtus (cuckoo wrasse), 170 nucleotides. RefSeq lists it as uncharacterized. The record is from RefSeq and is a predicted model, not a curated record. NCBI's taxonomy places the organism in Eukaryota, Metazoa, Chordata, Actinopteri, Labriformes, Labridae. The transcript is spliced from 2 exons.
ACACACACUGAAGGUCAUAACACACACACUGAAGGUCAUAACACACACACUGAAGGUCAUAACACACACACACACACACACUGAAGGUCAUAACACACACACUGAAGGUCAUAACACACACACACUGAAGGUCAUAACACACACACACUGAAGGUCAUAACACACACACA